Molecule: unclassified non-coding RNA, 143 nt
Filed under: soil metagenome
Description: partial internal transcribed spacer 1
Source: RNAcentral
UAAUAAGUGUUUAUGGCACUUUUUAAAUCCAUAUCCACCUUGUGUGCAAUGUCAGUCGAUCUUCUUCAUGGAGAUCGACCAAACAUCAACCUUUAUCUUUUAACUCUUUGUCUGAAAAAUAUUAUGAUAAACAAUUCAAAAUA